UUUCCUAUUUUUCCACAGCUUUCUUGAACUGCAUCUAACAGAUACUUUUACUCCCAUUACACAUUUGCAGUUCAAUAAUGCUGUGGGAAAAUAUGGCGA
This 99-nucleotide microRNA precursor is filed under the name Olea europaea subsp. europaea. The record is from RNAcentral. Lineage: Eukaryota; Viridiplantae; Streptophyta; Magnoliopsida; Lamiales; Oleaceae.